AUGGUUGGACCCCUUAAAGGGGGAAGCCAUAAGAAAAGAUAUCUGCUGGUGAUGAUGGAUAAAUUCACCAGGUGGAUAGAGGCUAAACCAGUCAAAGUGGCCGAGUCCGGACCGGUGAUAACAUUCAUAUCCGACGUUGUGCAUCGUUACGGUGUCCCACACAUCAUCAUCACCGACAACGGCUCCAAUUUCAUAGCCAAUGAGGUAAAAAUUUGGUGUGCUAAUCUGGGCAUUAAGCUUGAUUACGCCUCUGUCUACCACCCACAAACAAACGGUCAAGUCGAACGAGCCAAUGGUCUUAUUAUGAGCGGCAUCAAACCCAGACUAGUGCGGUCUUUGAAAGAAUCUGACAAGAACUGGGUUGAGGAGCUCGACUCCGUACUAUGGGGGUUGCGGACCACGCCCAACCGUACUACCGGAUACACAGCUUUCUUCAUGGUGUAUGGUGCAGAGGCUGUGUUGCCCUGCGGUAUUAUUCAUGACUCACCUCGAGUGUGUAUGUAUGAAGAGAGAGAAGCCGAGCUAGAUCGGCAGGACGCCUAG
This 543-nucleotide ribosomal RNA is filed under the name Triticum aestivum (bread wheat). RNAcentral describes it as "partial small subunit ribosomal RNA". The record is from RNAcentral. Lineage: Eukaryota; Viridiplantae; Streptophyta; Magnoliopsida; Poales; Poaceae.